Molecule: long non-coding RNA, 811 nt
Filed under: Linum usitatissimum (flax)
Lineage: Eukaryota; Viridiplantae; Streptophyta; Magnoliopsida; Malpighiales; Linaceae
Description: long non-coding RNA (LUSI_LNC007463)
Source: RNAcentral
GCAAACUGGUCUAGUAUGAAGGCCUUUUCAACAAUACAUCAGUAUAACAGAGACUGGGGCAGCUUCUACCUUUUUCUUUAAAUUAGCAGGAAAGUUUAGCUAAUGAAGCCAGUUUCGGUACUGUUUGCGUUGUUUUGUGAAAAAAUAUAAUAAUAUGACAGAUAGAGACACUGUUUAACUUAUGAAUCAAUCACAAAAAAGAUGAAACAUCGUAAUUGAAAUGAUGCUCUUCAACAAAAUGAAGAAGAGCAUCAGAAAAUGAAAAAUUGCAGAGGAGUAGGUUAAUUAGGGAAGGUGGCAGCCAGUAGUUCUGCUGCGGGGAUCACAGUAAAGUUUGCGCUCUUGCUUGUCUGGAAGGCAGUAGUUGGCACCCCGCCCGCAGCCGUAGGCAGGAGCGUUAGACCCUAAUGAGUUGAACACAUUGUUGCUACCAGCCUGCAACAUCCUCAUCACCGAUUCACUGCUGCUCCCCGCGGAGUAGUCCACCUCCGACAAUUCUUCUUCCAAAAUACCUGUAUUCUUAUUAUGAACAUCAUCAUCAUCAUCAUAUAAGUGCAGCACCGUAAGAUUAGCACUAGCAGCAGCACUGACUCCGCAGCAAAUAAUUAGUAGCAGCAAGAUUGCAAUAGCCGGCCCAAUUGCCUGCUUCCCACGGUUGGAUGAGCGACCCAUCAUCAUCAUCAUCUCUACCCUCCUCCCUCUAUAGUAGUUGAGUUCCAGAAUUGGUUUAUUUAACUCCAACCCAAGGCACCAAUCACCAUGAUUGAAUGAUAUUGAUUGGGUUAUAGUAUUAUAUAUAUAUAAUUUUGUC